This 258-nucleotide ribosomal RNA is filed under the name uncultured bacterium. RNAcentral describes it as "partial 16S ribosomal RNA". It matches the Rfam family "Bacterial small subunit ribosomal RNA", at positions 96 to 354 of the family's 1533-position model. The record is from RNAcentral.
CGGCGGACGGGUGAGUAACGCGUGGGUAACCUGCCUUAUACAGGGGGAUAACAGUUAGAAAUGACUGCUAAUACCGCAUAAGCGCACAGUACUGCAUGGUACAGUGUGAAAAACUCCGGUGGUAUAAGAUGGACCCGCGUCUGAUUAGCCAGUCGGCGGGGUAACGGCCCACCAAAGCGACGAUCAGUAGCCGACCUGAGAGGGUGACCGGCCACAUUGGGACUGAGACACGGCCCAAACUCCUACGGAAGGCAGCAG